This is a long non-coding RNA of Asparagus officinalis (garden asparagus), 472 nucleotides long. RefSeq lists it as uncharacterized. Lineage: Eukaryota; Viridiplantae; Streptophyta; Magnoliopsida; Asparagales; Asparagaceae. The transcript is spliced from 2 exons. The record is from RefSeq and is a predicted model, not a curated record.
AAUUAUCCAUUCCUCAUCCUGAUCUCUUUGUUGUCUACUUAUCAACCUAAAAGAGAUCUUUGGAGUUUGGAGGCCACGAUGGUCAUCACCAGGAAAACCUCAGCUAAGGGAUAGUAGGAAGUUGUUGAACAUCGCUGGAGACAACCUCAGUUGUCUGAAAAGGAUUUAGGAGAUGAACAGCCUCAGUUCGGAAUCGUACAGGAGCCAGAAGAUUCUUAGCAGGGGUGUCUUGCAGAAGGAGUAGAAGAACCAACUGAAGCGUAGUGAUUUUCUUCUGUAGUAGUAGUUGGAUAUUAAAACUCUUUUACCGCACUUUUCUUUAGUUUGAUGAUAGAUUUAGUUAUUUUAUUUCCUUUUAUUAUGGACUAUGUAUUUCUUAUUUCCUAGUUGAACUGUUGUUGUAAUAAGGGUACGUUUGACCCAUAUUUUAUGUCUGGGAUGAUUUACCAUUAAUGAUAUGUCUAUUUUUAUU